CUCUGAGCAGCAGUGGCCCCCCACGCCCGUCCCCCCGCAGAGGGAGUCUCACCGCUCGGUAGGUUUUCUUCUGCCCGGCAUGUUUGGGUGCUUUGCCCGGCUCCGUCGAACUCUCCACAUGCAUGGAGUAAAUGAUGUCAAAGAAAUCUUCCACCACAGCCACGCGUUUCAGAGAGAUGCCCUCGGGCUCCGACAGUCCAUCUGCCCCCUACAACAGUGCAGUGAUAUGAGUGGUUCACUGAGAAAAUACCAGGGAUGGUCCUGGAGCUCAGCUCCUCUCAGCUCAGCAAUGCCACAGUGCGUCUGGAAUCACGGAUGUUGCACAGCACAGAGGAUGGAG
Molecule: long non-coding RNA, 340 nt
Filed under: Gallus gallus (chicken)
Lineage: Eukaryota; Metazoa; Chordata; Aves; Galliformes; Phasianidae
Source: RNAcentral